GAAAACUAGUACAAAGUAUAGGGGCGUCCAUCUGUAUUAUUUUUUUAUAACUGCAUGGGAGUCCACAAUUAUCUUAAAGCAAAAAGUUAACUUAAAAAAAACACCAGCUUCACAGGCUUUAUGUGAGGAUCAAACGAGAUGAUAUUUAGGGAAGAAAAGUCACUCAUCUAAUGUUUAUUGAUGGCUCUCACCUGUCCAGACGGUGUGAAUGCUGAGCGUAUAGCAGGGAGCGAGGUUUGCACUAUAGCAGAAAUUUUAUUCUGGUAUAGUGUCACGCAAAAGCAAAUUGAUACUUUUUAAAUUUGUAAUUGAAAUUGGUUUAAUCACAACCACUCAGAACAGUACCAUGCAUCCUGUCCCGUCAUGUAAUGAAAAUAUACUCAGAGAGAUGGCAAGAUAUGCCCAGGUACCAGGUAGAACCGGAGGCAGAAAUCAAACCCAGAAUGGAACCCAGGUUGUGGCUCAUCACCUCUCAAUUCAGUGCCUUCAACAAAGGAGCUCUCUUCUCUUUGCAGGGUAACCCAGAGAAGACAGCCGAAGUAGAAUGUGGGCACAUCUGCUACACCAGGGACAGAGCAACUGUGGGUGAAGAGGGCGACGUCUGGUUCCUGGGGAGGAGUCCUGCCACUAUCAAUGACUGGGUGAUGAAGGCGUUUAUUGUCCUGACCCUACAGUUUCUGUCCCAUGACAAGGACCAGCUGAUCAAGGAGCUGCAGCAGCAUGUAACGUGAGUGACAGCCCCAUCCAAGUACCUGAGGAAGCAUCGUUUCAGGAUGAGUAUUUCAUGUCAAGUGUAUUCAAGGAAGAGUGUAAAGGAUCCAUGGCCUCAGUCACCAUGAAGACCCUCCCAAGAGCCAGCCCUACUGGGCACGUAUAAAUGAGUGGAGACAUGGAACCCACCCUUACAAGGCCUAAACCUGACAGAGCACACAAGACAGAAGCCCAGAUAACCAGGAGCAGGAAGCUGAAGGCGAGAGGUGGGCCCCAGAGGAAAAUGCUUUGUGUUUGUGGAUUUAUCACGCAGAAUGAAACCUUAGUUCUUAGUU
Long non-coding RNA from Saimiri boliviensis boliviensis (Bolivian squirrel monkey), 1046 nucleotides. The record is from Ensembl. Lineage: Eukaryota; Metazoa; Chordata; Mammalia; Primates; Cebidae.